Molecule: long non-coding RNA, 1856 nt
Filed under: Nicotiana benthamiana
Lineage: Eukaryota; Viridiplantae; Streptophyta; Magnoliopsida; Solanales; Solanaceae
Description: long non-coding RNA (NBEN_LNC030165)
Source: RNAcentral
ACGGACAUGAUCUCAUUGUUGAUUCUGAACUGGAGCUCAACUAUGGAAGGUAAAACUUGUUAAUUUCUUGUAUUAUUGUGUAUCUUAGUUGAUGUUAAAGUUCUGACCUCUUAUUUUGCAGACGUUAUGGAUUGCUGGGACUGAAUGGCUGCGGGAAAUCUACACUUCUUAGUUGAUGUUAAAGUUCUGACCUCUUAUUUUUGCAGACGUUAUGGGUUGCUGGGACUGAAUGGCUGCGGGAAAUCUACUCUUCUUACCGCUAUAGGGCUGCGGGAACUUCCCAUCCCAGAGCACAUGGAUAUUUUUCAUCUUUCACGGGAGAUUGAUGCCUCUGACAUGUCUGCUCUUGAGGCCGUCAUUAAUUGUGAUGAAGAGAGGUUGAAAUUGGAGAAAGAAGCUGAAGCUUUAGCUGGACAGGUAUAAUGCUGUUAACAUUAAAUUAAUGCUCCACGGUUUUGGUUUUCUUUGGAUAAUAUGGUUAGUUUCGUUUGUGUUGUAGGAUGAUGGUGGUGGAGAGCAACUUGAACGGAUCUAUGAGCGUUUAGAAGCUAUGGAUGCAGCCACUGCUGAGAAGCGUGCUGCUGAGAUCUUGUUUGGUCUUGGAUUUGAUAAGAAAAUGCAAGCAAAGAAAACAUGUGAUUUCUCCGGUGGCUGGAGAAUGAGGAUUUCUCUUGCGCGAGCCCUAUUUAUGAAUCCAACAAUUUUGUUGCUUGAUGAACCAACAAACCAUCUUGGUAAUCUUCGCUUUACAUUUUCUAGCAUAGUAGAUCUUUCCUCAACUGUUAGGGUUUUGCCCUUGCUAGAUUUAUAUGAACAAUGUGUAGUUCUGUAUGAUGGCUCUUUUAGAGUUGACAUGUGUUAUUCUUCUUCCUGAAUGCAGACUUAGAGGCCUGUGUGUGGUUAGAAGAAUCCUUGAAGAAUUUCGAGCGCAUUCUGGUUGUCAUUUCACACUCCCAGGAUUUUCUCAAUGGUGUUUGUACCAAUAUCAUCCACAUGCAGAACAAGAAAUUGAAGCUGUAUACAGGAAACUACGACCAAUAUGUUCAAACCCGGUCAGAGCUAGAAGAGAACCAGAUGAAACAGUAUAAGUGGGAGCAAGAGCAGAUUGCUUCAAUGAAGGAAUACAUUGCUCGUUUUGGACACGGUUCAGCUAAGCUAGCCCGUCAAGCACAGAGUAAAGAAAAAACAUUGGCUAAGAUGGAGCGUGGUGGGCUUACAGAGAAGGUGGGGAGGGACAGUGUUUUGGUUUUCCGGUUUACUGAUGUUGGCAAACUUCCACCUCCUGUUUUACAGUUUUCAGAAGUCGCAUUUGGCUACACACCUGAGAACCUCAUCUACAAGAACCUUGAUUUUGGUGUAGAUCUUGAUUCCAGGAUAGCUCUUGUGGGGCCUAAUGGAGCUGGAAAGAGCACACUGCUUAAGCUGAUGAUAGGGGACUUAUUCCCCACUGAUGGCAUGGUUAAGCGGCAUAAUCACCUUAAAAUUGCGCAGUAUCACCAGCACUUGGCUGAGAAGCUAGACAUGGACAUGUCUGCUCUUCAGUACAUGAUGAGAGAGUACCCUGGGAAUGAGGAGGAGAAGAUGAGGGCAGCAAUUGGGAGGUUUGGCCUCACAGGUAAAGCUCAAGUAAUGGCUAUGAAGAACUUGUCAGAUGGUCAACGUAGUAGGGUGAUUUUUGCAUGGUUGGCUUAUAGGCAACCUCACAUGCUGCUGUUGGAUGAGCCAACCAACCAUCUUGAUAUUGAGACAAUUGACUCACUUGCAGAGGCAUUGAAUGAAUGGGAUGGUGGGAUGGUUCUAGUUAGUCAUGAUUUUAGGCUCAUAAACCAGGUUGCCCAUGAGAUAUGGGUAUGUGA